Molecule: RNA transcript, 1937 nt
Organism: Gossypium arboreum
Lineage: Eukaryota; Viridiplantae; Streptophyta; Magnoliopsida; Malvales; Malvaceae
Gene name: DNA repair protein recA homolog 1, chloroplastic
Exons: 14
Source: RefSeq, a predicted model, not a curated record
UAAUAGACACUCUAGCUCUGUUGGUGCCGUUGCAUAUCAAAAACCUUAGCUUAAACGUCGAAAAAAAUUGAAAAUCUCGACUGUGGAAGAGGCAGAAAAAUAAAACUAAUUUUUUUUUUUACUGUAAAUAGUUAAUAGUUCUUGAAAGCAAGAGCAGCAGCAGCAGAAGAAGCCGUAGCUGCUGAUUCUUCAAGCUUUCGAACUGUACUUUGUGAGCAAAUUUUAAUUGCAUGGAUUCUUCUUUAGUUUUCUCCUCGAAACUGAAACUCCACCAUCACUCUUUGCCUCUCCAAACCCAUUUCCAAAGACGCCCGCUUCUCACUUCAUCCCACUUCCGCUUAGCGGCGGCCAAGAAACCACCCAGGAAAGUUCUCUGUGAAUUCGAACCCAAAGUUAAUGGUGCUCUCUCACCGGACCCUGAUUCCCGUUUCCUCGACCGGCAAAAAGCAUUGGAGGCUGCAAUGAAUGAUAUAAAUAGUUCAUUUGGAAAAGGAAGUGUUACAAGAUUGGGGAGUGCUGGUGGAGCAUUGGUUGAAACUUUUCCGAGUGGUUGUUUGACGCUAGAUUUAGCCUUAGGUGGUGGCCUUCCCAAAGGAAGAAUUGUGGAGGUAUAUGGACCAGAAAGUAGUGGAAAAACUACCCUAGCACUCCAUGCCAUUGCUGAAGUGCAGAAGCUUGGUGGCAACGCAAUGCUUGUUGAUGCAGAGCAUGCUUUUGAUCCAGCAUAUUCAAAAGCAUUGGGAGUAGAUGUCGAGAAUUUGAUUGUGUGCCAGCCGGAUAAUGGGGAAAUGGCAUUAGAAAUUGCGGAUCGUAUGUGCAGAUCUGGUGCCGUAGAUUUAAUUUGUGUUGAUUCAGUAUCAGCUCUCACUCCACGGGCAGAGAUCGAAGGUGAAAUCGGGAUGCAGCAAAUGGGAUUGCAAGCACGUCUGAUGAGUCAGGCUUUACGUAAGAUGUCAGGAAAUGCUUCUAAAGCUGGUUGUACUCUAAUUUUUCUUAAUCAAAUAAGAUAUAAGAUUGGAGUAUAUUACGGGAACCCAGAAGUGACUAGUGGAGGAAUUGCAUUAAAGUUCUUUGCCUCAGUUCGUCUUGAAAUACGUCCUACUGGGAAGAUAAAGUCUGUUAAAGGUGAUGAGGACAUUGGGCUUCGUGUUCGUGUAAGAGUGCAGAAGAGUAAGGUCUCAAGGCCAUACAAGCAAGCAGAAUUUGAAAUCAUAUUCGGAGAGGGAGUAAGCAAAUUGGGAUGCAUUUUAGAUUGUGCUGAAAUGAUGGAUGUUGUCACAAAGAAGGGCUCUUGGUACAGCUAUGGGGACCAUAGGCUGGGGCAAGGCAGAGAUAGAGCAUUACAAUACUUGAGAGACAACCCUGUUCUACGUGACGAAAUCGAGAAGAUAGCUCGGUCUAUGAUCGCGGAUGGAACCGAACAUUUGAGCUCAACUCAUGUGAAGAGCUUGUCAUUUCCUUCCCAAGAUGAAGAUAUUUAUGAGGAGGUAUGACGGGAUUGAACUAACUGGUCUUUACCACAAGGCCUUGGCAAUCAACUGCAAAGGUACUCGGAAUUUAGUUUCGCCAUCGUGCAUUGGGCCCAAAACAGAGAGUUUUCAUGCCUUUCAGAAGGAAGGAGGGAUCAAGGAGCAGGCCAUACCCCUGGUUGGUAUAACUUGUGCCACCAACUCACAAGGGCAAAACCAAGAGAAUCUUUUAAGGGUUAAAAAUGAAAUAUCAUCAUUACAAGGACUAAACUCCAAAUUUAUCAUUUUGGGGGCCAACCCUCUACCUAACACUUAUGAGUCAUGAUCGAAGACUUUGCAAGUACAUAUACAUCCUAUCUAAUGUAUUAUCUAUAUACACGUAUGCAUGUAUGUGCGUGUAUAAUUUACACAAUAAAAACUGAGUUUGUGAUGUGUGAUUGCUAUUUAUAAAUUAUAAUUAAAUGACAA